Molecule: small nucleolar RNA, 97 nt
Organism: Pseudophryne corroboree (corroboree frog)
Lineage: Eukaryota; Metazoa; Chordata; Amphibia; Anura; Myobatrachidae
Product: small nucleolar RNA U13
Exons: 1
Source: RefSeq, a predicted model, not a curated record
AUCCUUCUGGUUCUAGAGCAUGAUGUGUGGGUGGUCACAUGGCUGUGUGAGAUGUGUUGUCCUAGCUGUUAUGACUUGACACAUGACCCUUCUGAUC